RNAcentral lists this long non-coding RNA (1039 nucleotides) under Nicotiana benthamiana. RNAcentral describes it as "long non-coding RNA (NBEN_LNC042268)". The record is from RNAcentral. Lineage: Eukaryota; Viridiplantae; Streptophyta; Magnoliopsida; Solanales; Solanaceae.
UUAAGUAACAAAGAUAUGAAUAAAGGAAAAUAUUUACCCGAUCUUCAGUAAGACGGAUCUUCUUUCAUUUAAUAAAGAUGAAUGAUAGACAAAUACAAGAACUGUAUGACCCUUUUUGGAUCUGAUAAAGGCAUGAAAUCAAUAAUCUUUUCCAUUCUUUGCCUUUGGGGAGGUUUGUUUACGUAUUUCUUAGAAAAAGGGAGAGACAGGAAGAGCCAGCCCCCUUUUUGGGAAGUCCUCCCCUCCAAUUUAUAUGGGGGUUAUCUAUAAAAAAUCUCUAAAAAAGGUAAAAUUAGAGGGAAUAUUCAGUAGAGUAUUCCCUUUAAGGAUUCCAAAGUGAACUAGUCAUUUCACUAUUCGACCUCGGCCUUAUUGAUGAUGGUCCGACCUCAGCCUGUCCAAUCUCGGCUAUUGAUGACGGUCCGACCUUGGCUAUUGAUGACAGUCCGACCUUGGCCUGUCCGACCACGACCUUAUGUCUCCGCGUGCCGAAUUUCUCUGAUACAAUUUUGACCCAUACAGGUAUAACAAUUACAUAAAUACGCAAUAAAUAAUAUUGUUAUUAGAGAGAGUUGAUCAUACUCCAAAUGAUUACCUCCGCAUAGCCUCCAAUGUUUGGAUGGUCCUCUUAGACGGGCCAUUAGUAUGAGGAUGGAAGAUUGUGCUAAGACUCGCUCUGCUACCCAAAGCCUUUUGUAGGCUUUGCCAUAAGGCUGAAGUGAACCGUGGCCUCUUCCUCGUCUAAUCAUUAUACUUGCAGCAAGAAAGGGGCUUUGGAAAGAUAGUUCGCCAAGUCUUUAUAUUUGAACUCAAGUGGACACUUCUCAGCCCGAGGACAAUCUCUUAAAUACACAUGAUGAUGUUGUUGAUUCGCUUUUCUUUUCUUUGUAUUCUGGUGCUAUCAAUAUCUACCCAAUUAACUAAAAAUAUAAUUGACCGGGACAUCUUUAGUAGUAAGCGUUUACCCUCUAAAAUGAGAGUUUCAGGCGACAAUGUGAACUAGUCAGCCUCGGGUACGGAAUAAUAGGUAGAAAAUCAG